Long non-coding RNA from Octopus bimaculoides (California two-spot octopus), 541 nucleotides. The record is from RefSeq and is a predicted model, not a curated record. NCBI's taxonomy places the organism in Eukaryota, Metazoa, Mollusca, Cephalopoda, Octopoda, Octopodidae.
GCUUAGGCACAAGUUCAGCAGUUUGAUGGGAAGGCGGAAGUCGAUUAAAUGAAAUAACAAAAUCUGGAGGAUUUCAUUAUUAUUUUGACUGACACGUCUUUAAAUUCUCUACGGUUUUUAUCUACCAAACACCAGCAUAAAUUCCACGCAAACUAAGAACUGUCCGUGAAGCUUGGCGAUCCGUAAAGAAGCGAAUAUCGAAACGGAGAAACCUACAGAAGGACAGUAACGAAAAAUCAUGAAUCUAUUAUUCAUACCUAUUUACGGAGUGCUAUAUUUUAUUAUGGAUAGUAUAAUAAAUACUGCAAGUUCAUGAAACGCUGCUGUCUUGAAAUAACCGAUCAAUACACAACUAGAAAUCAUAAGAUAAAAUGCAUUUAUACAGACUGUUUCUGAGAACUGACAGCUUUGCAGAGGUACAAUAUUUAGAGAGAAUACUCCGACUGAAGAACUACUUUCCAAUCACAUUUCCUGAGGUAAAAACUGAAACGAAAAAAUGUAUAAGUGGAAAAGAAACGCAAUUUUGUUUUGGGUCACCAUU